AAAGAUAGUUUAGAAAAGAAAGCUGUUGUUGUGACGAAAAAUGUUCAAAAGCAAGAAAAAUCUCCGAUUUAAAACUUUAAUUAUCCCUUGACUUUAAUAUAGGUAAUUGAUUAGGGAGACUACUUUAAAGUCGUUUGAGUGACACACGUGUUUCAAGCAUAGUUUUACGUCUCAACUUUUUCAUUUACGAUGGUCAAGAAAAUAAAACUGUCGUUAUGAAGAAAUCUAUCAAAAAGGUUGGGAACAACCCCUCGAAUGAGAGUAACCCUUCAAUGUAAUGACUACACAUGAAAUGAGGGAUCAAUUUCAUGUGAUAAAAGCUUUUGUUUUGUUGUAAAAACCACUUCUUAGUACAAUAGGGCACAUCAGUAUUUUUCUUUUAAAAAAACUUUCCCUACGAUCUAUACUGGUAUUAUAUG
Molecule: long non-coding RNA, 419 nt
Filed under: Mytilus galloprovincialis (Mediterranean mussel)
Lineage: Eukaryota; Metazoa; Mollusca; Bivalvia; Mytilida; Mytilidae
Source: RNAcentral